CCUACGGGCGGCAGCAGUGGGGGAUAUUGCACAAUGGGGGAAACCCUGAUGCAGCGACGCCGCGUGGGUGAAGAAGCGCCUCGGCGCGUAAAGCCCUGUCAGCAGGGAAGAAAAUGACGGUACGUGAAGAAGAAGCCCCGGCUAACUACGUGCCAGCAGCCGCGGUAAUACGUAGGGGGCAAGCGUUAUCCGGAUUUACUGGGGGUAAAGGGGGCGCAGACGGAGAUGCCAGCCAGGAGGGAAAGCCCGGGGCCGAACCCCGGGACUGCUCUUGGAACUGCGUGGCUAGAGUGCAGGAGGGGCAGGCGGAAUUCCUGGUGUAGCGGUGAAAUGCGUAGAUAUCAGGAGGAACACCGGUGGCGAAGGCGGCCUGCUGGACUGCAACUGACGUUGAGGCCCGAAAGCGUGGGGAGCAAACAGGAUUAGAUACCCGGGUAGUC
Molecule: ribosomal RNA, 440 nt
Filed under: uncultured bacterium
Lineage: Bacteria
Description: partial 16S ribosomal RNA
Rfam family: Bacterial small subunit ribosomal RNA
Source: RNAcentral